CUUGCCCGAACUUUUACUCCUCCUAUGACCAUCAUCUUCCUCAUUUAUUCCAUCUCCAUCCUUUCUAUCCAUUCUUCCACUCCAUCUAGCUCUCCUUGAAGGUUGAAGAAAAGUGUGUCCUUCCCUGAAGCUUGGGUUUCUACUAGAGUUCUUGUAAUCCGGAAGCGAGGUGAAGAGGAGCAACGAGCCGCCGGUGCUUCCACGAAGGCUAGGACCACCGGGCAAUAAUCUUGGAUUUCUAUUGAAUUUAGGAGAUCAUCAAUGGGGGGUUAAACCGUGACCUUGUUGACAAGAUGUUUUGGAAAAUGAGACUGCAGUUUCACACUGUGUCCGUUUGGUGAAAUAAUCAACGGCCAUCUGAUAUUCAGUCUCGGGUUACCGAGGAUAAAUAAAUGAUCUCUGUUAUUCUGGCUUAGGCCACUGAGGGUAAAAAAAUGACUUCUGGCAUCUAUAGUGAAUUUGGAGACAUACACUUAAAUCUAUUACUUUUUUA
Dioscorea cayenensis subsp. rotundata (Guinea yam) is the source of this 493-nucleotide long non-coding RNA. RefSeq lists it as uncharacterized. Lineage: Eukaryota; Viridiplantae; Streptophyta; Magnoliopsida; Dioscoreales; Dioscoreaceae. The transcript is spliced from 3 exons. The record is from RefSeq and is a predicted model, not a curated record.